GAUGAAGAACGCAGUGAAAUGCGAUAAGUAAUGUGAAUUGCAGAAUUCAGUGAAUCAUCGAAUCUUUGAACGCACAUUGCGCCCGCCAGUAUUCUGGCGGGCAUGCCUGUUCGAGCGUCAUUUCAACCAUCAAGCCCCAGGCUUGUGUUGGGGACCUGCGGCUGCCGCAGGCCCUGAAAACCAGUGGCGGGCUCGCUGUCACACCGGGCGUAGUAGAUUUUAUCUCGCUCAGGGCGUGCUGCGGGUUCCGGCCGUUAAAAGCCUUUUUUACCCAAGGUUGACCUCGGAUCAGGUAGGAAUACCCGCUGAACUUAAGCAUAUCAUAAGCGGAGGA
This 334-nucleotide unclassified non-coding RNA is filed under the name soil metagenome. RNAcentral's name for it is "partial contains 5.8S ribosomal RNA, internal transcribed spacer 2, and large subunit ribosomal RNA". The stretch from base 1 to 120 matches the Rfam family "5.8S ribosomal RNA", at positions 35 to 154 of the family's 154-position model. The record is from RNAcentral.